CAUCGCUACUAGGCCUAUAUUUAUACUCUAUCCUAAAGAGUUACAACCAGAUAUGACUAGGAUUCUAAGACCAAAUCAAAUAGAACUCGUACAGAAAAUAAACUCUAAAAAUUAUGAAAAAUAACAAUUCAUCUAUCCUGGGUAAUCGGCACACCACCAUUGUCAUCCCGACGACUCCCACGUCUACCUUCACCAUCAUCAGUAUAUCAUCCUCCAUCGGCAUCGGUAAUCGUCAAUAUUGGCCAUCGGCACCGGUCAACCAUUGCUCUCGGACUUAACCAUAUCUCCCUCCUGCUGCCUCAUCAUCG
RNAcentral lists this long non-coding RNA (308 nucleotides) under Sorghum bicolor (sorghum). RNAcentral's name for it is "long non-coding RNA (SBIC_LNC017780)". Lineage: Eukaryota; Viridiplantae; Streptophyta; Magnoliopsida; Poales; Poaceae. The record is from RNAcentral.